UACGUAGGGUGCAAGCGUUGUCCGGAAUUAUUGGGCGUAAAGAGCUCGUAGGCGGUUUGUCGCGUCGAAUGUGAAAACCCGGGGCUCAACCCCGGGCCUGCGUUCGAUACGGGCAGACUAGAGUUCGGUAGGGGAGUCUGGAAUUCCUGGUGUAGCGGUGAAAUGCGCAGAUAUCAGGAGGAACACCGGUGGCGAAGGCGGGACUCUGGGCCGAUACUGACGCUGAGGAGCGAAAGCGUGGGGAGCAAACAGG
This 253-nucleotide ribosomal RNA is filed under the name uncultured bacterium. Its description in RNAcentral is "partial 16S ribosomal RNA". It matches the Rfam family "Bacterial small subunit ribosomal RNA", at positions 524 to 776 of the family's 1533-position model. The record is from RNAcentral.